RNAcentral lists this ribosomal RNA (873 nucleotides) under Scorpaena maderensis (Madeira rockfish). RNAcentral describes it as "partial 16S ribosomal RNA". It matches the Rfam family "Bacterial large subunit ribosomal RNA", at positions 1470 to 2620 of the family's 2925-position model. Lineage: Eukaryota; Metazoa; Chordata; Actinopteri; Perciformes; Scorpaenidae. The record is from RNAcentral.
CCCCUUACCGGGCCAUCCCAUGCGUGCAUGGGAAAGACAUGCUAAUAUGAGUAAUAAGAGAGCCAAAACUCUCUCUUGACACAUGUGUACCUCGGAUCGAACCCGCACCGAACAAUAACGGCCCCAAAUAAAGAGGGUUGUGAAUGACACCAAAGUUAACAAGAAAAGACUUCAUACUAUACCGUUAACCCUACACAGGUGUGUUUUCAAGGAAAGACCAAAAGAAAAAGAAGGAACUCGGCAAACCUAUAAGCCUCGCCUGUUUACCAAAAACAUCGCCUCUUGCAAAAUUAAAGAAUAAGAGGUCCCGCCUGCCCUGUGACUAUAUGUUUAACGGCCGCGGUAUUUUAACCGCGCGAAGGUAGCGCAAUCACUUGUCUUUUAAAUGAAGACCUGUAUGAAUGGCUAGACGAGGGCUUAACUGUCUCCUUUUUCAUGUCAAUGAAAUUGAUCUCCCCGUGCAGAGGCGGGGAUAACCCCAUAAGACGAGAAGACCCUAUGGAGCUUUAGACACUAAAGAAGACCAUGUCACUAACCCUUUGAUACAGGACUAAACUAGUGGAUACCUUCCCUACUGUCUUUGGUUGGGGCGACCGCGGAGAACUACAAAACCCCCGCGUGGAAUAGGCACACCGUUCCUUCAAUUAAGAGCUACAGCUCUAACUACCAGUAAUGCUGACCACCAAGAUCCGGCAAAGCCGAUUAACGGACCGAGUUACCCUAGGGAUAACAGCGCAAUCCCCUUCUAGAGUUCAUAUCGACAAGGGGGUUUACGACCUCGAUGUUGGAUCAGGACAUCCUAAUGGUGCAGCCGCUAUUAAGGGUCCGUUUGUUCAACGGUUAAAGUCCUACGUGAUCUGAGUUCAGACCGGA